RNAcentral lists this ribosomal RNA (292 nucleotides) under uncultured bacterium. Its description in RNAcentral is "partial 16S ribosomal RNA". It matches the Rfam family "Bacterial small subunit ribosomal RNA", at positions 505 to 796 of the family's 1533-position model. The record is from RNAcentral.
GUGCCAGCAGCCGCGGUAAAACGUAGGUACCGAGCGUUAUCCGGAUUUACUGGGCGUAAAGCGCGUUCAGGCGGUUUGGCAAGUCGGGCAUGAAAUCUCUCGGCUCAACCGGGCGAGGUUGUCCGAUACUGUCAGACUGGAGGGCAGUAGAGGGUGGUGGAAUUCCGGGUGUAGUGGUGAAAUGCGUAGAGAUCCGGAGGAACACCAGUGGCGCAAGCGGCCACCUGGACUGCACCUGACGCUGAAACGCGAAAGCUAGGGGAGCGAACGGGAUUAGAAACCCCCGUAGUCC